GAAAUCAAUAUCAUUUUCUUGUUAGUGUUUCUUUGUUUCUUUAUCCUUAUAAAAUCUCAAGUUUCUUAUAUCGAAUAUGUCUUUUUCAUGUAAGUUUGAGUUGUUUAAUUUUGUUAUGUUAUUCUAAGUUUUCAAUGCUGAGAUGAAAGGGUGAAACUCUUGCAAAAUAUUAAGGUAAGUUCCAUACUCAUCAUUUGAGCUUAAAUCAAUUAUCAAUCACUUGUCAUAAUCAUACUCGUAAAGUAAGAUCUUUUAUUUGUUGUAGACAAUAGAUGACACAAUGAAUGCUUGGAUAAAUUAACCUCGAUUUGUUGUAGACCUAUAAAAAAUUUUCAUAAUAAAUAUUUGAAAUCUUUUUUAUAAGUUUGAAGUUAUCAAGUGAUUAUAAUACCAUAUGUUAUAUUUUUGGACUAAACUUAAAUAGUUAAAUUUUCAUAUUACAACAUCUUUUGCUUAUGGAUUCAUUUGCUAAACUCUUGGACUUAUUGGAUAAUCAUAUUGGACACUCCUUUGAUGGACAUACCUUUUCUCAUGGAUUCAUAUGCUAAUUAUUUGAUGUACAUUGCUAGAUUAUCCGAUUGGGAUCUCUAUUUUGUGUGGAUUUUAAUUGAGUACUAAAACUUAAUCUUAAUAUGAACCACGAGUUGAUCCUCUAACCCUAACAUAUUUUCUUCCAAGUAUCUAUUAUUAUUAGUUAAUUUCUUUCAUUGAUUUUUAUUUUUAUUUCUAGUGUUUCUUGCUACUAUUUUCAUUUUGGAGACUUAUUCUAAAGUUAUGUGUUAAAUAUUUUUUCUAGCAUAAUAGUUGUACUAUUGUAAGUUCUAGUCAACUUCCCUAUGGAUUGACCUCGGACUCUCGAGAUUUUAUUACUUGUAUAACUUGCACUUGAGUUGUAAACUUAGAAAGUUUCUAUCAAGUUUUUGGCGCCAUUGCCAGGAAGGUAAGAUUUAGUUUACAAGUUUAUAAGUAUUUUUUUCUUUAUAUAUAUUUGGCUGGUUCUACUGCCUAUAGUAUUUUUCUUUAUUUAAUCUUUUUUUUUCUUUUAAAAGGAUGGUUGUACCGCC
This 1064-nucleotide long non-coding RNA is filed under the name Gossypium raimondii (Peruvian cotton). RNAcentral's name for it is "long non-coding RNA (GRAI_LNC004511)". Lineage: Eukaryota; Viridiplantae; Streptophyta; Magnoliopsida; Malvales; Malvaceae. The record is from RNAcentral.